Molecule: ribosomal RNA, 253 nt
Filed under: uncultured bacterium
Lineage: Bacteria
Also listed under: 1 other name
Description: partial 16S ribosomal RNA
Rfam family: Bacterial small subunit ribosomal RNA
Source: RNAcentral
UACGUAGGAGGCGAGCGUUGUCCGGAGUUACUGGGCGUAAAGGGUGCGCAGGCGGCCUACCGCGUGGGGGGUGAAAUCGCUCGGCUCAACCGGGCGGGUGCUUUCCAGACGGGUAGGCUUGAGGGGCGGAGAGGGGCGCGGAAUUCCGGGUGGAGCGGUGAAAUGCGUAGAGAUCCGGAAGAACACCGACGGCGAAGGCAGCGCCCUGGACGCCAUCUGACGCUCAUGCACGAAAGCGCGGGGAGCGAACAGG